AAUCGUUCACUUCGUUACGGCGGAGCGCAGGCAAGCCAGGCCAUGGAACGGGGACCUGGA
Molecule: non-coding RNA, 60 nt
Submitted as: unclassified sequences
Source: Rfam